Molecule: ribosomal RNA, 253 nt
Filed under: uncultured bacterium
Lineage: Bacteria
Description: partial 16S ribosomal RNA
Rfam family: Bacterial small subunit ribosomal RNA
Source: RNAcentral
UACGUAGGUGGCAAGCGUUGUCCGGAUUUACUGGGCGUAAAGGGCGUGCAGGCGGUCUGUUAAGUGCAGGGUGAAAGCUCCCGGCUCAACUGGGAGAGGUCCUUGCAUACUGGCGGACUUGAGGGGGGUAGAGGAAAGUGGAAUUCCCGGUGUAGUGGUGAUAUGCGUAGAUAUCGGGAGGAACACCUGUGGCGAAGGCGACUUUCUGGGCCCUACCUGACGCUGAGACGCGAAAGCGUGGGGAGCGAACCGG